RNAcentral lists this ribosomal RNA (490 nucleotides) under uncultured bacterium. Its description in RNAcentral is "partial 16S ribosomal RNA". It matches the Rfam family "Bacterial small subunit ribosomal RNA", at positions 30 to 507 of the family's 1533-position model. The record is from RNAcentral.
AUUGAACACUGGCGGCAGGCUUAACACAUGCAAGUCGGGCGGUAGCACAGGGGAGCUUGCUCCCUGGGUGACGAGCGGCGGACGGGUGAGUAAUGUCUGGGAAACUGCCUGAUGGAGGGGGAUAACUACUGGAAACGGUAGCUAAUACCGCAUAACGUCGCAAGACCAAAGAGGGGGACCUUCGGGCCUCUUGCCAUCAGAUGUGCCCAGAUGGGAUUAGCUAGUAGGUGGGGUAAUGGCUCACCUAGGCGACGAUCCCUAGCUGGUCUGAGAGGAUGACCAGCCACACUGGAACUGAGACACGGUCCAGACUCCUACGGGAGGCAGCAGUGGGGAAUAUUGCACAAUGGGCGCAAGCCUGAUGCAGCCAUGCCGCGUGUGUGAAGAAGGCCUUCGGGUUGUAAAGCACUUUCAGCGAGGAGGAAGGUGGUGAGCUUAAUACGUUCAUCAAUUGACGUUACUCGCAGAAGAAGCACCGGCUAACUCCGUG